Prunus avium (sweet cherry) is the source of this 191-nucleotide non-coding RNA. NCBI's taxonomy places the organism in Eukaryota, Viridiplantae, Streptophyta, Magnoliopsida, Rosales, Rosaceae. The record is from RefSeq and is a predicted model, not a curated record.
UGUCUUUGGUAGACUCUUUCCAUUUACAGCACUAUGUUGGCAAAGGAAGUCUCUUUCGUUAAUUUUUAGGAAAGAAACACAUAAUUGACAUGGACGUAUAAAUUAAUUCACGGUACCAAAUGCCCUGAAUUUUAUUGAUAUAACCAAGACACUAUUACAUAUUAAGAUCCGGACAAAGUCCAUAUCCAUAA